Long non-coding RNA from Hydra vulgaris (swiftwater hydra), 268 nucleotides. RefSeq lists it as uncharacterized. The record is from RefSeq and is a predicted model, not a curated record. NCBI's taxonomy places the organism in Eukaryota, Metazoa, Cnidaria, Hydrozoa, Anthoathecata, Hydridae.
UGACUCGCAGUACAAUUAGAAAACGUAAAUACAAGUUUAAAGAAAAUCAGUACACAUGCAAUGAUAAACAAAAAAAUAGUUUACCUUCAUCGCCAAUUGCAAGUUGUUCAAGUGCAAAAAAGUUAUUUUCGAAAACGAAAACAACUCAAAAUAUUGAGUGUAACAAUGAAGAUUACAAGAACAAUUAUAACUUUAUUAUGAACUUUUCUAUAUUAAAAAGAAUAUUUAAGAAAUUGGAUAGUAUCAUUUAAUCGUUGCAUGAAUAUGC